Molecule: ribosomal RNA, 492 nt
Filed under: uncultured bacterium
Lineage: Bacteria
Description: partial 16S ribosomal RNA
Rfam family: Bacterial small subunit ribosomal RNA
Source: RNAcentral
AGUGAACGCUGGCGGUAGGCCUAACACAUGCAAGUCGAACGGCAGCACAGUAAGAGCUUGCUCUUACGGGUGGCGAGUGGCGGACGGGUGCGGAAUACAUCGGAAUCUACUUUUUCGUGGGGGAUAACGUAGGGAAACUUACGCUAAUACCGCAUACGACCUACGGUUGAAAGCAGGGGAUCUUCGGACCUUGCGCGAUUGAAUGAGCCGAUGUCGGAUUAGCUAGUUGGCGGGGUAAAGGCCCACCAAGGCGACGAUCCGUAGCUGGUCUGAGAGGAUGAUCAGCCACACUGGAACUGAGACACGGUCCAGACUCCUACGGGAGGCAGCAGUGGGGAAUAUUGGACAAUGGGCGCAAGCCUGAUCCAGCCAUACCGCGUGGGUGAAGAAGGCCUUCGGGUUGUAAAGCCCUUUUGUUGGGAAAGAAAAGCAGCAGGUUAAUACCCCGCUGUUCUGACGGUACCCAAAGAAUAAGCACCGGCUAACUUCGUG